Molecule: transfer RNA, 73 nt
Filed under: Trichonephila inaurata madagascariensis
Lineage: Eukaryota; Metazoa; Arthropoda; Arachnida; Araneae; Nephilidae
Rfam family: tRNA
About the family: Transfer RNA (tRNA) molecules are approximately 80 nucleotides in length.
Source: Rfam by way of RNAcentral
GUUCCUGUAGCGCAAUGGAUAGCGCGUUGGACUUCUAAUCGAAAGGUCAUGGGUUCAAUUCCCACCUGGGAUA